RNAcentral lists this transfer RNA (74 nucleotides) under Aspergillus terreus. RNAcentral describes it as "tRNA-Tyr". It matches the Rfam family "tRNA". Rfam says of the family: Transfer RNA (tRNA) molecules are approximately 80 nucleotides in length. Their secondary structure includes four short double-helical elements and three loops (D, anti-codon, and T loops). Further hydrogen bonds mediate the characteristic L-shaped molecular structure. tRNAs have two regions of fundamental functional importance: the anti-codon, which is responsible for specific mRNA codon recognition, and the 3' end, to which the tRNAs corresponding amino acid is attached (by aminoacyl-tRNA synthetases). tRNAs cope with the degeneracy of the genetic code in two manners: having more than one tRNA (with a specific anti-codon) for a particular amino acid; and 'wobble' base-pairing, i.e. permitting non-standard base-pairing at the 3rd anti-codon position. The record is from RNAcentral. RNAcentral also lists the same sequence under 9 other names. Lineage: Eukaryota; Fungi; Ascomycota; Eurotiomycetes; Eurotiales; Aspergillaceae.
CCCCCGAUGGUCUAGUUGGAUAUGGCGUUCGGCUGUAAACCGAAAGGUCGCCGGCUCGAUUCCGGCUCGGGGGA